UCCUACGGGGGGCAGCAGUGAGGAAUAUUGGUCAAUGGGCGAGAGCCUGAACCAGCCAAGUCGCGUGAAGGAUGACGGCCCUACGGGUUGUAAACUUCUUUUGUCAGGGAGCAAUUGGGUCCACGCGUGGGCUUAGCGAGAGUACCUGAAGAAAAAGCAUCGGCUAACUCCGUGCCAGCAGCCGCGGUAAUACGGAGGACGCGAGCGUUAUCCGGAUUUAUUGGGUUUAAAGGGUGCGCAGGCGGGAGAUCAAGACAGCGGUAGAAUGUCGGGGCUCAACCCCCGCCGGCCGUUGAAAC
Molecule: ribosomal RNA, 299 nt
Filed under: uncultured bacterium
Lineage: Bacteria
Description: partial 16S ribosomal RNA
Rfam family: Bacterial small subunit ribosomal RNA
Source: RNAcentral